Magallana angulata is the source of this 1059-nucleotide long non-coding RNA. RefSeq lists it as uncharacterized. NCBI's taxonomy places the organism in Eukaryota, Metazoa, Mollusca, Bivalvia, Ostreida, Ostreidae. The record is from RefSeq and is a predicted model, not a curated record. The transcript has 3 exons.
AACUUAGUUCUCUCUAGCAGAUAAACAAGUUAAUAUUACAGUAUAUAAUUUGUUUCAGCGAGUGAUUCUGCUUUAUAUGUAUUUACCUCGUUUAUUUAGUGUGCAAGUUGAAACACAAAAUUUCGUUUACGAGCGAUUGGCAUUGCUCUAGAAAAAAACUGAUGAGCAUUUAACAGACACGUAAUAAAACUGUUUCUUGACAUUUCCCAAAGGUCUAUUCACAAAAUCAUUUAUUUCUUAUCUGCAAAAACACCUGCACUCAUCCUGCAACUUUGCUCGGACUUUGAAGUGUCCGCCAUUGUUAAUGAGGUAUCGAAGCAAUUCGUCACCGUUACAUAACGCUCACUGAACUUCAAUACAUAAAAGUCAUUCUAUUACAUCAAAACGAAGAUUUUUUUAUAUAAAAAUUACAAUAUAUAUUAAAGCAACAAACUAGGAUGCGAACGUUUUGUUUUCAAUGUUACCAAAAUGAAUUAAGAAGAAAUUAAACAAAAAAUUGGGUAGGGGUGAAAUUGACUAGUAACAACUUGAGUACUAUUAAAAGAUAACUAGUUUCUGAGCUACAAGCAGACGGAUUUGAAAAUUCAAGGAUUUAUACAUCAAUUGAUGUUUUAUAGCGGAAUAUUUCUAAAAGAGUUGCUGAUCAUAUGCAGGAAAAAAAAUAGGGAAGCUGAGACCUGCAAAAACUGUUCCCAAAAUAACGAUGAUAAAGGAUGGUAAAAGAACUGCACAAGAAGCAAGGACAUUUAAAGAAGUUUCAGGGAGAGGCAGAUAAGUGAUGUGGGAAAAAUGUAUAUUUAAAAAAAUAUGAAUAAAUUUAAUUUGAUUGAAAAUCCUAUUCAUUUGUACUUCUUUUCAUAUUUGAUAGAUUACAGAGGUAAUAUAAUAGUGAUGAAAUAGUGAUGAAUAUUCGCUGAUAAGGUUUUGUAAUAUUGCUGAAAAUUUUCUUAAGGUGGAUCUUUACACCAAAUAAGUGUAGGGGAUUUUUGUUGCAUGCAUUUGUUACCAGUACUAGGCACAGUAUUCAACAAUAAUAGACCUCAAAAUACAAUACACUAU